This 253-nucleotide ribosomal RNA is filed under the name uncultured bacterium. Its description in RNAcentral is "partial 16S ribosomal RNA". It matches the Rfam family "Bacterial small subunit ribosomal RNA", at positions 524 to 776 of the family's 1533-position model. The record is from RNAcentral.
UACAGAGGUCUCAAGCGUUGUUCGGAUUCAUUGGGCGUAAAGGGUGCGUAGGUGGCGAUGUAAGUCUGGUGUGAAAUCUCGGGGCUCAACCUCGAAAUUGCAUUGGAUACUGCGUUGCUUGAGGAUUGUAGAGGAGAGUGGAAUUCAUGGUGUAGCAGUGAAAUGCGUAGAUAUCAUGAGGAAGACCAGUUGCGAAGGCGACUCUCUGGGCAAUUCCUGACACUGAGGCACGAAGGCCAGGGGAGCGAACGGG